RNAcentral lists this non-coding RNA (182 nucleotides) under Gammaproteobacteria bacterium. Its description in RNAcentral is "6S RNA". It matches the Rfam family "6S / SsrS RNA". From Rfam's summary of the family: E. coli 6S RNA was the first non coding RNA to be sequenced, but its function was unknown until recently. It consists of 184 nucleotides that fold into an extended hairpin structure with a large single-stranded internal bulge. The record is from RNAcentral. Lineage: Bacteria; Pseudomonadati; Pseudomonadota; Gammaproteobacteria.
UGUCCCCUGCGGCAUUCGUAGUGCACCGGGUACCCCUUGAGCCUAAUUUUAUACUCAGGGAACGCUGUGGUUACAAUGUUGUGCAUACCUGAUUUUUCGGGGAGCCUGAUUUGUACUACGCGUUCCCCCCUGAACCUACCGGUUCAAGGGAAAAGGUGCGAUACGGUGCAGGCGGGGGGCAC